RNAcentral lists this ribosomal RNA (492 nucleotides) under uncultured bacterium. Its description in RNAcentral is "partial 16S ribosomal RNA". It matches the Rfam family "Bacterial small subunit ribosomal RNA", at positions 29 to 507 of the family's 1533-position model. The record is from RNAcentral.
AGUGAACGCUGGCGGUAGGCCUAACACAUGCAAGUCGAACGGCAGCACAGUAAUAGCUUGCUCUUACGGGUGGCGAGUGGCGGACGGGUGAGGAAUACAUCGGAAUCUACUUUUUCGUGGGGGAUAACGUAGGGAAACUUACGCUAAUACCGCAUACGACCUACGGGUGAAAGCAGGGGAUCUUCGGACCUUGCGCGAUUGAAUGCGCCGAUGUCGGAUUAGCUAGUGGGCGGGGUAAAGGCCCACCAAGGCGACGAGCCGUAGCUGGUGUGAGAGGAGGGUCAGCCACAUGGGAAGUAAGACACGGUCCAGACUCCUACGGGAGGCAGCAGUGGGGAAUAUUGGACAAUGGGCGCAAGCCUGAUCCAGCCAUACCGCGGGGGUGAAGAAGGCCUUCGGGUUGUAAAGCCCUUUUGUUGGGAAAGAAAAGCAGCAGGUUAAUACCCCGCUGUUCUGACGGUAGCCAAAGAAUAAGCACCGGCUAACUUCGUG